This 395-nucleotide ribosomal RNA is filed under the name uncultured bacterium. RNAcentral's name for it is "bacterial SSU rRNA". It matches the Rfam family "Bacterial small subunit ribosomal RNA", at positions 136 to 507 of the family's 1533-position model. The record is from RNAcentral.
GCGGGGGAUAACUCGAAGAAAUUCGAGCUAAUACCGCAUACGCCCCUCCUUCGUAGAGAUGGAGGGGAAAGUGGGGGACCUUCGGGCCUCGCACUAUUGGAUGAGCCUAUGUCGGAUUAGCUUGUUGGUGGGGUAAUGGCCUACCAAGGCGACGAUCCGUAGCUGGUCUGAGAGGAUGAUCAGCCACACUGGGACUGAGACACGGCCCAGACUCCUACGGGAGGCAGCAGGUGGGGAAUAUUGGACAAUGGGCGCAAGCCUGAUCCAGCAAUGCCGCGUGUGUGAAGAAGGCCUGCGGGUUGUAAAGCUACUUUUAGUACGGGAAAGAAAACGUCGGGGUUAACUACCCCCGGGCCUUGACGGUACCCGAAGAAUAAGCACCGGCUAACUCCGUG